Molecule: non-coding RNA, 84 nt
Organism: Cajanus cajan (pigeon pea)
Lineage: Eukaryota; Viridiplantae; Streptophyta; Magnoliopsida; Fabales; Fabaceae
Source: Rfam
UGGCGACGAUUUAAUAUUAUUUGCGCUUCUGACUUUUUUUCGCUUCAUCGGUUAAAAAAUAGUUGAAUUUCUUGAUAUGAUCUA